CCCCUAGAUGUUCUGGGCCGCACGCGCGCUACACUGAACAGUUCAACAAGUCUUAACCUUGGCCGAUAGGUCUGGGUAAUCUUUGAACGCUGUUCGUGAUUGGGAUAGACCUUUGCAAUUAUGGGUCUUCAACGAGGAAUUCCUAGUAAACGCAAGUCAUCAGCUUGCGUUGAUUACGUCCCUGCCCUUUGUACACACCGCCCGUCGCACCUACCGAUUGAAUGGUCCGGUGAAAUCUCGGGACGGCGGCUUGGUCGCUUGCGUCCGACUGCUGAAACUUGAUUAAACCAUAUCAUUUAGAGGAAGGUGAAGUCGUANCA
Molecule: ribosomal RNA, 320 nt
Filed under: uncultured eukaryote
Lineage: Eukaryota
Description: partial 18S ribosomal RNA
Rfam family: Eukaryotic small subunit ribosomal RNA
Source: RNAcentral